UCUCUCUCUCCAUGUCUUCUCUCUCUCUCCAUGUCUUCUCCGCUCUCUCCUCUCGCCCUUUCCAAUCUUUUAACGCUCCUCUCGCUUCUUGUCCCCCCUUCCUCUCUCCCCUGUCUCCCCUCUCCCCACCAUAUCCCUCUCCGCUCCCUUCUCCCCCGUCUCCAUCUAUGCUUUCUCCUCUCUUACCCUAUCUCCCCCCCCCCGUGUCACCCCCUCCUCCCCCGUGUCUGCCAUCUCCCGUCUAUUGCCCUCUCUCCCUCGCUCUCUCCCCUCUCUCCCUUGAGACAUCAAUGCCGAGCGAGACGCGGCGAGGCUGCGUGUCGACGCCUUUCGCGUCUCGGCUCCGUGAGCCUGGGCGCCGAGCGAGACGCACGGGGACACGCGAGGAGACGCACGGAGACACGCGAGCGAGACACGGGGACACAGAGGCACUCGGACAAGAACACACACUGGACGGCCUUAUCCGUGCAAGUUGCAUCUCCGAUUAGCGCGUUCGGCUACGUGCUAAGAGUGCGAAAGAAUUUCAACGUGCAUGCAUCACAACGGUGUACGAUCUACAACGCGCGGAGGUGCUGCGUUGUGUCGUGGCGCUUCCAGCCAAUUGAUAGUGGAGCGAUCGAUGGACGUGGCAUGAAACGGGUACACCCUGAGAACCGCCACGCGUGCCUCGGUGGGACAUCACUCGGUCCCAUACGCAGCGGUGCAGGCAGGGAUUAGUCCACACUUGCUGUUCCGCCUGCUCCUGGCAAGCCAGCGUACGGCAGGCACCUCCAUCGAGGCCCACGGGAAGGGAGCUUCGCUCUCAUCUGCGUGUGAACCACCAACCCUUGCUGCUGCUGCUGCAUCGACAGCGCUGGGGUUUGUCGCUUGGCCACGUGGCAGUGCUGUGUUGUGAGCGUGUCGUGGACAUUCGACUCGUCGCUAAUCACGCGCACGCAGCUUCCAACACGGUGAUUGGUGCGUGCCCGCCCGCGCACGUGCUCCUGGGGGGCUCGUGAAAGGGGGGCUCAAGAGAGAGAGAGAGAGAGACACGGAGAGGAGUCGUCGAGUCAAUGCUCAUGUCGAGAAACAUUGGAUGGCCACAUUAUUAAUUUGUUUGCGUGGUUUUGUUCACACACACACACGAAAUGACAGGCAAGGGGUUGAGUGGUUUCACUCAUAGGGCAAGAUCAAGUUCUGCCUUGCUUGAAGUCUGAUGAUCGUCACUCACGACUCGAUAUCCGUGUCGUUCGCCUCCGAGUGCGACGCCGAAGCCGUUAGAAAGCGAGCGAACAAAGACCGCUUUACUUGUCACGAGUUGUUUGUAUCUACAGUAGAGUGAUCGUGGCUUGCUGAUGAUCGCUAAUAAACGUGGGGGGAAAAAAACCUUG
Petromyzon marinus (sea lamprey) is the source of this 1370-nucleotide long non-coding RNA. RefSeq lists it as uncharacterized. The record is from RefSeq and is a predicted model, not a curated record. NCBI's taxonomy places the organism in Eukaryota, Metazoa, Chordata, Hyperoartia, Petromyzontiformes, Petromyzontidae.